CCAGGGCGUGGGCUUCAACCCGCGCCCCGGCUAUAACCAGAGCAACGGCUCAUAAAGCUGUGGCUCUUAUUUUUGAAGAAAUGAGACCAGCAGGGGCAUCCGGGCCGGUACCCGGACUAUCAGCGUGAUCCCAAGUGGCUUGUUUUUGUCGCUGCAUUCGGACUUCUGCAAGCUUGCGCGGUGUUUUCGCCGAUGGUGUCCCCUAACCGAGGGUGACCA
Non-coding RNA from Pseudomonas batumici, 219 nucleotides. The record is from Rfam. Lineage: Bacteria; Pseudomonadati; Pseudomonadota; Gammaproteobacteria; Pseudomonadales; Pseudomonadaceae.